This 450-nucleotide ribosomal RNA is filed under the name uncultured bacterium. RNAcentral's name for it is "partial 16S ribosomal RNA". It matches the Rfam family "Bacterial small subunit ribosomal RNA", at positions 338 to 795 of the family's 1533-position model. The record is from RNAcentral.
CCUACGGGGGGCUGCAGUGGGGAAUAUUGGACAAUGGGGGAAACCCUGAUCCAGCGACGCCGCGUGUGUGAAGAAGGCCUGCGGGUUGUAAAGCACUUUCGGUGGGAACGAAAUAUGCCGGGCUAAUAUCCCGGCAGGCUGACGUUACCCAAUGAAGAAGCACCGGCUAACUCUGUGCCAGCAGCCGCGGUAAUACAGAGGGUGCGAGCGGUGAUCGGAAUUACUGGGCGUAAAGCGGUCGUUGGGAUGUGAAAUCCCCGGGCUCAACCUGGGAACUGCAUUCGAAACUGCGAUGCUUGAGUAUGGGAGAGGACAGCGGAAUUCCGGGUGUAGCGGUGAAAUGCGUAGAUAUCCGGAGGAACAUCAGUGGCGAAGGCGGCUGUCUGGCCCAAUACUGACGCUCAGGUGCGAAAGCGUGGGGAGCAAACAGGAUUAGAUACCCCGGUAGUC